Molecule: long non-coding RNA, 1607 nt
Filed under: Gossypium barbadense (sea-island cotton)
Lineage: Eukaryota; Viridiplantae; Streptophyta; Magnoliopsida; Malvales; Malvaceae
Description: long non-coding RNA (GBAR_LNC003401)
Source: RNAcentral
CGUAACCAAUAGCCUCCAUACGAUGUGAGAACUAAAAUCUUAAUUUUACAAUUAUUUUAUCCGCCUUCGAGCCACUGACUCUCAUUUCAAGUAAGCUGAUAAUGUCUGGUUUAUACUCCAUAUUAUACUCUCAAAAAAUACGGUAAAAUCUUGCAUUGGCACAAUCUUGACAAUUCCAUGAAAAAAUUAAAAUAGUCAUGUAAAAUUAACGAGGAGAAUAAAGGGCAUACCGUUACUGUUGAGGCUCACUGGUGUCGCUAGGGUCGGAUUCAUCAUGCAAACCGAUGUCCUUUUCAUUUGUCAACUCCGUUGAGAUAAGAUUCACCAUUUCUUCCACUGUGUUGACUAGGGAAACUCGGGAGUUGGUCAAUGCUUUCAAACGACUACCCCUUCCUCGCAUAGCAAUAUUAGAGUUUUUACCUCCACGGGCAACACCAAUUUUACCAUUAAUUUUUCGUUCUUUACUUCCUGAGCUAUUGGUUCCUAAAGGUUCUGAGUGUCGACUUUUGGUGCGACUAAUGAAAUUUGAAAUUUCCUUAAAAGUGAUCGCAGAGUGUUUUCCAAGUCUAAAAUACCUUCUGUUAAUUUAAUAGAAACCUUUUUCGGGUAUUCAGAACCAGGUUUAAAAAGCGCUGUGGUGUUGUCUAAUUUGGACUCGUUUGCAUGUCCAGAGUCUCCACUUGGGCCAGUUAGCAAAUCGGCCUGUUCGUUAGGGACUUGGACUACUGCCCGAACCCAUAGACUCUAGAUGUGCCAUGAAUUUGUCUUUUGGUGACUUGCCAUUUAUUUGACUUUUACAUUUGGAAUUUUUUUCCUUGGCAUUCGGGACAGUAAGAACUAAAAUGGUAGUGUUUUGGGGAUAAGGCAUAGAACAGUUGUUAUUUAGCACCGAAUGGGAAACUGAUUCAAGCUCUAAGGAAAGUGUUUGAUUUUACUUUCUUUUUUUGGCUUUCGGGUAACCGUUGGCUUCCUGCAAGGGGUUAGGCAAAAAGGUUGUAGGUUCUUGCAGGCUAUCCUCAGGGUUCAGUACAGACAAGGUAGCAAACUGCUGCGAUGACGAGGCGCCUUUAGCUUGGUUUGCCUUUGGCUAGAACCCGAAUUUCAAUCUGGAAUGAUGUGUGCCAGGAUUGAAAGAUGGUAGGUUGCAUGGAAAUGGUUUGAGAAAACAUUAUAAUCUGGUUUCUAAAUUGUUAGAUCAAUAUUCGAGGCAAUGGAAGGGAGAGAUAAUUACUCACAUAAUGUUUGUAGAUGAGGCAAGGAAAGGUUUGAGUAUUCAUCUGUCUCGUCAUUGGUAGGAGGAUAAACAAAUCUGAGGAGAUAAGUUGUGCGGAGAGUAUUCGGUAUGAAGUGGGUACAAGUUAUUGUUGGAAAAGUUUGCUGAAGUGGAGCCUACCUUACAACAGUCAACAUCUAAGCAGGUAUACAAAAAAAAUAUGGCUUACAAAGCUUGCAAAAAAAAUUAAAAUUACACUUUGGAGAGCUUAUAGAAAUUUUAUCCCUAUCUACAUAAAUUUAUAGAAAAGAAUGUUGUGAAAUCGGCUGCUUGUCCUAGGUGUACAUAGAAAGAUAAGUUUCUUGAACAUGCCUUCCGCGACUAUCAGGCUGUC